UACGAAGGGUGCUAGCGUUGUUCGGAAUUACUGGGCGUAAAGCGCGCGUAGGCGGCUUCUCAAGUCAGGGGUGAAAUCCUUGGGCUCAACCCAAGAAUUGCCUUUGAAACUGUGAAGCUAGAGUGUCGGAGGGGAUAGCGGAAUUGCUAAUGUAGAGGUGAAAUUCGUAGAUAUUAGCAGGAACACCGGUGGCGAAGGCGGCUAUCUGGACGACAACUGACGCUGAGGCGCGAAAGCGUGGGGAUCAAACAGG
This 253-nucleotide ribosomal RNA is filed under the name uncultured bacterium. Its description in RNAcentral is "partial 16S ribosomal RNA". It matches the Rfam family "Bacterial small subunit ribosomal RNA", at positions 524 to 776 of the family's 1533-position model. The record is from RNAcentral.